Molecule: ribosomal RNA, 274 nt
Filed under: uncultured bacterium
Lineage: Bacteria
Description: partial 16S ribosomal RNA
Rfam family: Bacterial small subunit ribosomal RNA
Source: RNAcentral
AGACGAAGGUGGCGAGCGUUGUUCGGAAUUACUGGGCAUAAAGCGCGCGUAGGUGGCUUGGUAUGUCAAUGGUGAAAUCCCAUGGCUCAACCAUGGAACUGCCGUUGAAACUGCCUUGCUUGAGUUCAGGAGGGGAGAGUGGAAUUCCUAGUGUAGCGGUGAAAUGCGUAGAUAUUAGGAGGAACGCCGGAGGCGAAAGCGACUCUCUGGACUGACACUGACACUGAGGCGCGAAAGCUAGGGGAGCAAACAGGAUUAGAAACCCCGGUAGUCC